Long non-coding RNA from Acanthochromis polyacanthus (spiny chromis), 4456 nucleotides. RefSeq lists it as uncharacterized. The transcript is spliced from 4 exons. NCBI's taxonomy places the organism in Eukaryota, Metazoa, Chordata, Actinopteri, Pomacentridae. The record is from RefSeq and is a predicted model, not a curated record.
UAGGAAUGUCUUUAGCUAAGUUAAGAAUAUUAUCGACUGAUGCUAAUGAUUAGCCUAACACUGUCAGUUACUAGCUUUGGAAUGAUGGUGACAAACCAAGGAAUGCAAGUGUGUUGUGAAGCAUGGAGAUAUGAGAUCCCAGAAUCAGCCACAAAGGGGAGACUCUGACAGAACAACAGCUAAAUAAGGGAACAUUGUGAUAUUAUAACCUGUGAUUUAGGAUCAGAUUAUGCCAUAACCUAAUGAAUGAGUUUGAACUAACCAAGUGUCUAUUCUUACAUUCUUUAAUGUUGAAACAGUGUAGAGGUCAGAAGCGUGACUCACUGUGAAAACUGAUGUUUUUGAUAGAUUUGACUAAAAAGAGGAACUUAUGCUUUAUGAAAUGGGAAUGCUUUUAAGAGUUUUGAUUUGACUACUGUUAAGAUAAGAGGGUUUUAACUUUGUAUUGAGGUGAGAAGUCACGAGUUAAGUGAACUAGGGUCAAGUGUUCACAGUAAAGGUCUCUAGACUCAAAAUAGAUUGGGUUUUUUUAAUAAGUCUGUACACAUUGUCCAAAAGAUUGCACAAUGGGAUGCCAGCGACAGUUAGAGGCUGACAUCCGCUUUUCCAUUUCCUGAUCAGGAACCUGUGCUGAGUUGCAGACAGGAGAGAUCAGGGGGGGCAAGAUGGGCUGUCUGGACAGUCCAAAACAGAUAGUUUCAGUUCCUUAAAAGUGGGGGUGAUCAUGCGGUCAGUGUAUGGGGCAAGUGUGUGAGUUGGGAGGGGGUAAAGAUACAGUAAACUAUAAAUUACAUCUGAUCAAGACGCAAGUUGGGAGAUUGUUGCGGGUAUCUGCCUGGGUGCAAUCCAGACAUCAGUCUGAGCACAGGGGAUGAUUACCACGUAACUCGGACAGGGAAUUCAACAUGAUCUGCAAAGGAAUAACUGUUCUGAUGGAAUUAUGGACCAAAGUACUGCGUUUCCUGCAGUGUUGGAGGAUUACUGAACUGUGAUCUGGAAAUAAUGCUGUCUGAAGGAACAUUACUGAACUCUAUUUUCCAUGUGAGGAAUACUGGACCAAACAACAAAAAUGGAUAUAUGCAGAUCUAAAUCUGGUCGGACCCCCAUCCACUUCCCCCUGGGCCCCGGCGGGUCUCAGGUGAGCAGCCGGGUGUGGCCACACCGUGACUGCUCUCCCUCCAAAUUAUGUAAUCUGGGCAGCAGAAUGAAGAUGAAGAGGAUGAAGAUGAAGAGGAUGAAGAUGAAGAGGAUGAUAAUCACGUCGUACGUUUCCUAUUUCCCCUCCAGUCCACGGUACAGAUAUAAAACAGAGAUAUUCAGCUGGAAGAAAAGAACGACUGCAGGAAUAAAAAAUGAAACAGACGAAGAACUGGAUGAAUUCUAACAGCAGCAGACUCUCUCUCUCCAACGUGGAGGUCCAUGUGACUCUCAACGAGGAAAACAUGAAGUAAAACACCGACAUCUAGUGGAGAAAGGAGGAAAAGCAGCAACAUCUGAAGGCUGAAGAUACAAACUGAAGCUAUAAACUGGAGCUACAACAUCAAACUGAAACUACAAACUGAGGAUAAAAACAUCAAACUGAGGCUAAAAACAUUAAUGUGAAGCUAUAAACUGGACCUAAAGCUGCAAACUGAAGCCAAAAAAAUCAAACUGAAGCUAAAAAAAAAUCAAACUGAAGCUAAAAAAACAAACUCAAGCUAAAAAAAAAUCAAACUCAAGCUACAAACUGAGGCUAAGCUUCAGACUUAAGCUAUAAUAUCAAAUUGAAGCUAUAGUAUCCAGCUGAAGCUUAAAAAAAUCAAGCUGAAGCUAUAAACUGAAGCUACAAUGUCAAACUAAAGCUAAAACUACAAACUGAGGAUAAAGCUUCAGACUUAAGCUAUAAUAUCAAACUGAAGCUAAAGCUACAAAUUGAGCUAUAACAUCCAGCUGAAGCUUAAAAAAUCAAACUGAAGCUAUAAACUGAAGCUAAAACAUCAAACUGAAGCUAAAAAAUCAAACUAAAGCUACAAACGGAAGCUUCAAACUGAAGUUAAAGCUAGUCUGAAGCUAAAACAUCAAACUGAAGGUACAAACUGAAGCUAAAAAAUCAAACUUAAGCUACAAACUGAAGCUAAAACAUCAAACUGAAGCUACAAACUGAAGCUAAAAUAUCAAACUGAAGCUAAAACAUCAAACUGAAGCUACAAACUGAAGCUAAAACAUCAAACUGAAGCUAAAACAUCAAACUGAAGCUACAAAAUCAAACUAAAGCUACAAACUGAAGCUAAAAUAUCAAACUGAAGCUAAAGCUACAAAUUGAAGCUAUAACAUCCAGCUGAAGCUAAAACUUCAAACUGAAGCUUCAAACUGAAGCUUCAAACUGAAGCGAUCAAACUGAAGCUAAAGCUACAAACUGAAGCUAAAGCUAGUCUGAAGCUACAACAGCAAACUUAAGCUACAAACUGAAGCUAAAACAUCAAACUGAAGCUAAAAAAUCAAACUGAAGGUACAAAUUGAAGCUUCAAACCGAAACUAAAAUGUCAAAUUGAAGCUAAAAUAUCAAACUGAAGCUACAACAUCAAACUAAAGCUACAAACUGAAGCUAUAACAUCAAACUGAUGCUACAAAUUGAAGCUAAAGCUACAAAUUGAAGCUAUAACAUCCAGCUGAAGCUAAAACAUCAAACUGAAGCUUCAAACUGAAGCUACAACAUCAAACUGAAGCUAAAACAUCAAACUGAAGCUUCAAACUGAAGCUACAACAUCAAACUGAAGCUACAAAGUGAAGCUAAACAACAUCUUACAGUGACAUGCCAUCCCAUCCAGUUUGCAGUUAGCUGGGCAUCAUUUAGUCUCCAACAGGACAAUGACCCCAAACACACCUCCAAGCUGUGGAAGGACUAUCUCACCAAGAAGGAGAUGAUGGAGAUGACCUGGCCUCCACAGUCACCUGACCUAAACCCAAUCCAGAUGGUUUGGGAUGAGAUGGACCACAAAGUGAAGGCAGAAGGACCAACAAGUGCUCAGCAUCUCUGGGACUCCUUCAAGACUGUUGGAAAAUCAUUUCAGGUUCUACCUCAUGAAGAUCAUCCAGAGAAAGCCAAGAGUGUCCAAAGCAGGAAUCAUAGCAGAAGGUGGCUAUUUUGAAAAAUCUAAAUUUCAACUUGUUUUACAAUUUAUUCUAGGUAGAUUUUGAGUCAUUAUUGGCAAUUUUUAAUGUGUUUGGACAAAUUCAACUGUUCUUAACAAAAUUUGAGUUUUUUUGGGACUUGUUCAGGGUGAUUUGGGACUUCAUUAGGGUCAUUUCUGACAAGAUUUAACAAAUUUUGGACAUAUUUGGAGUCAUUUUGUACUAUUUUUAAGAUGUUUUGCAAAGUUUUGAGCAAUUUUGAACAUUUUUCGAGUCGUUUUGGACUCAUUUCAACUUAUUCCACGUAAAACAGAAUUUAAACUCUUAAUGGGAAUAAACUGUUUAAAAUUCACAAACAUCGCCUUCUAACUAUAAUGUACGUUCUGACAAUAACAUAAUUCUCAUUUGAAGUCAGUUUUUCCAUAUUUGCUUAUUUUACAUUCAUAUUCCAGAACAUUCUCACACAGAAAUGCUCUAAGCUGUGAUGGUUUAAAUGCUUUUAGACGAUUCAUGCUGAUGGUUGCACCCAAAGUGCAGAACAAUGAAGCAUGCAGAUGUGAUUAUUUCCUCAUAGUCAGCGUUACUCACUGAUCAUAUCAGUACCUGAGUUAUUAUACAACAUCUCAUAGGUAUGACUCAAUAAACGGACCUGCACGUGAAAGAAAUCAGUGAUUAACACACAGCAAAGGGCCCUGAGAGAAUAUGGACUUUUAAAAGAGAAAAUAAGUGAAAUAAAUGUAUAUAGAGACAACAAAUCUUUCAUAAUAAGCUGAUUAAAAAAAAACAUCUCCGGUAACUUUAUGAAUGAUCAGAGUUCUACCUUCAUACUGUGAAUAUGGACAGAUCGACGAUGUGUCUCCUGGACUCUGCCUGGAAAGCUUUCAGCUGCACAAUCUGUUCUUCAGCAGACAGACUGUUUUCUCCAACGUUAGCCUCUGGUCCCGGUGUCUUUGAGGGCUGUGCUGUGGUCCGUGGCCCUGGUGUGGCCAGAGGUUCUGGCCUGGAUCCAGUUGCAGGCUGGAUCUGUGGUCUGGUCAAGAUGGUGAUUUGUUGUCUGGGUCCAGCAGCGGGCCUUGGGCCGGGUCUAAGCGGGGGCUUCAGACCGGGUCCAGCGGUGGGUCUUGGAGUUUGACUGCUUUUGUACACAUUUGGGUAAUUUUGGAUAAUUUUUUAUCAUUUGAAGAAUAUUUUAAAGUACUUUUGGACAGUUUUGUAGUUAUUUUUAACAUUUUUUAAACAAUUUUGGAUGAUUUACAUGUUAUUUUGAACAAUACUGAGAAAUUCUGGACAAUUUUUUAUGUCAUUUUGGAUGACUUUUGUGUUAUUUAGAACACAUUUUUAAAUA